This 8486-nucleotide long non-coding RNA is filed under the name Olea europaea (common olive). Its description in RNAcentral is "long non-coding RNA (OEUR_LNC012646)". The record is from RNAcentral. Lineage: Eukaryota; Viridiplantae; Streptophyta; Magnoliopsida; Lamiales; Oleaceae.
UUUGGGAUCAACACGUUGAUCAACACCAGCGAGAACACUAGAUUGGUGUCGUUGGCCUUGCUGAAGACCAUGUGCUUUGUCAGGAAUAAAGAAAUGUCGGACUGGUUACUAAAGGGUUCGUGAAUUUCCAUUGUUUAUGAGGUUCUUGAGUGAGAGAAUAAAAUGCUGGUAGUAGUAGUAGUUUGAUGAAUGUGAAUUUAUUAUGGUGCUUACGAUCUCAUUCAUGUUAUUUUAUUGUUUGAGUGUUGAAAUAAUGUAAUUACUCAGUUGCUUCUUUGGUACAUCAAUUACCAUAGUAUGCAUGUAGUUCCAGAAUCGAAUUUAUACCAAAAAAUACUCAAUGCAUAAAUCAAGAUUUUCUCAAAACAAAUCAGAAAAUAAGAACACGAGAGAUUUUUCGAUUAAAGGCCCCAAAGGUUCAGUGAUCGCUUCUAAUGCUUAGUCCCCCGUUGAGCAUCCAUAAAGGAUUAAGUUCGAAUCCACUAAAAAUCGGCCACAAAUAGGCAAAGUACAAUUUACAGAACACUCAGUUUCAGAUCACAGAGAAACAACUUAAUCUUCUCUUAAUAGAAACUCACGUAAGAGUUUCUUUACAGAUUCUCUCAAAAUAACACUCAGUAUUUCAGAGAAAAACUCAAGAUCAGAAACGAAGGAGAGAAAACGGCACGCAGCUAGAAAACCCUCAGAAUACUAAAAGCUAACCCUAAAAAUCUGAGGCUUCCUAUUUAUAUGAAAGAUAAAGAUCCAAUGUCCACCGAUUUUCCACUUGUCAUUGAUCCAAGAAAAAUGCUCCUUUUGGCCAGAAAAUGCUCAAUUCAACAGCCUUGAGAAAAUGGGCUCACAUCACAAAAUGCAGCAACACAGAAACUUACAAUCUCCACCUUUGCUGUAUUUUGUGCCUGCAUCUAUGUGGAUUCUAACUUAGUCUUUUAUUUCAUUUGCUCUGAUCACUUGUUUACAAAAAAAUUGUUAGCAAGUUUCGAGAUUUAAUAAUCUCAAACAAUGUGAAAACUUACAAAGUGGUAUUACCUUUAUCCUAACAUCAGUAGGAUUGACCAUAGUGGGUAUAUAAAUCAGUUUAAUACCCCCUUUAUCAAUUAUAUCUCUAAUGAAAUGAAAUUUAACACAAUGUGCUUUGACCUAUCAUGAAAAUUUGGAUUUUUAAUUAAGAAAAUAGUACUUUGAUUAUCAGAACAUAACUCUACCUAACAUUCUAUAAGACCUAAUUCAUUUAACUGUCCUUUCAGCUACAGUCCCUCUUUAACAGCUUUAGUGGCAGCCAUAUAUUCUAUCUCAGUAGAGGAUAAGGCAACUAUUUUCUAAAGUUGUGACUUCCAGCUAAUGGAAGUAUUGUUUAUGACAUAAAAAUAUGCAGAAGUAGACUUUCUAUUAUCUAGGUUUCCAGCAAAAUCUGAGUCAACAUAACCUUUUAGUUUAAAACAAUCUUUACUUGUUUCAAACAUAAGUCUUAGAUUACAUGUGCCUUUCAGAUAUUGAAUCAGGUUUUUCAUGUAUUUCCAAUGAAACUCACCUAGAUUACUCAUGAAUCUACUUAAUACACUUACAACAUAUGCUAUAUCAGGUCUAGUACAUACCAUUACAUAUAUAACUGAUCCAACAACAUUAGCAUAGGGCACAUUUACCAUUUUUUAAAUUGUUCUUCUGUGUUAGGUGAUUGCUCAACAGAUAAUUUCAUGCAAGCAGACAAAGGUAAACUAAUAGGCUUGGCAUUCUCAAGAAAAAAUCUUUUGACCACUUUUUCAAUGUAAGAUUUCUGAGUUAAAAAUAUUUUUCCAUAAAUAUUUAAUCUCUUAUAAUUUCCAUGCCUAAAAUCUUUCUUGCAAGGCCCAGAUCCUACCUUUCAAAUUCCAAUUUCAAAUUUUCUUUUAUGGAAUUAAGAGUAACAGAAUUGUGACCAGCCAACAACAUAUCAUCAACAUAUAAAAGAAGGUAAAAGAAUUCAGAAUCAUUAUUCCUCUUAAAAUAAAAACAAAGAUCAAAGUCUGAUUUCUUGAACUCUAGGCCUUGUAUAAAAGAAUCGCAUCUCUUAUACCAUUGGCUAGGAGUAUGUUUUAAGCCAUAUAGUAAUUUAUUUAGGAGACACACUAGAUUGCCAUUAUUUUUUACCCCAAACCCUUUAGGCUGUGUCUUAUAUUUGGUUUCAUCUAAAGAACCAUACAAGAAGACAGUCUUUACAUCAAGUUGCUCCAGUUCCAUAUCAAACUGGGUAACAAUGGCAAGGAGAAUUCUAAUAGAGGUGUAUUUAACUACAGGUGAGAAAAUUUCAGUAAAGUCUAUCCAUUCUCUUUGUGUGAAGCCUUUAGCUACAAGCCUUGCCUUAUAUCUUUUAUUAGAUAUAUUUGAAUCCCCCUUUUUAAUCUUAUACACUCAAUUACAGUUAACUAGUUUACAUUCUUCAGGUUUCUUAACCAAUUCCCAAGUUUUAUUUUUAUACAAGGAGUUUAUUUCAUCUUCCAUGGCUUCUAUCCAUUUUGAUGACUCUUUUGAAGAUAUUGCUUUCUCAUAGGAGGUGGGCUCAAGAUCAGAGGGCUUAAAAUAUAUUUCAGCAGAUACAUAAUCUGUAUAUUGACAUCUGGAAGGAGGUCUUAUUUCCCUCCUUUCCCUAUUUCUUGCAAGCUGAUAAUUUUGCAGCUCAUGUGCUGGGCUUAAUUCUUGAUUAUCAUUCAGAAUUUCAACAUCUAAAUUGUUAUUAAGCUCUGUUUGAGGCCGCUCCACCUCAAAUCAAGUCUACCUAUCAAUAUUUUCUUUGUUCAACUCAAUUUCUGUGAUAAUAAAAUCAUCAUCCUUUAUGUUUUCAUGGGUUUUGUCACUAAGACAUGGAAACUCAUCCUCAUUGAAAAUCACAGACCUACUUAUUAUCACCUUAUAACCUCUAGUAUCCCUUAACCAAAGUCUAUAGCCUUUAACUCUCCCUCCAUAUCCUAAGAAGACACCCUUUUUUGACCUAGGAUCCAAUUUUGAGUCAUUAUGAUGUGCAUAUGCAGCAAAACCAAAAGUUCUGAGGUAGGAGUAGUCAGGCAUAGAACCAGACCAGAUCUGUUCAGGGAUUCUAUUAUUUAAGGAACUACAGGGUCAUUUAUUCAAUAAGUAAUAGGCUGUCUUUACAACUUUCCCCCAAAAUAUUUUAGGCAUGCUAGAACUAAUCAGCAUACACCUGGUCCUCUUAAGAUUAGUUCUAUUUAGUCUCUCAACAACCCCAUUUUUCUGAGGUGUAUAGGUAACAGUUUUAUGUCUCAAUAUGCCUUGAUUGCUGCAGUAUUGAUCAAAUUCUGUACUGCAAAAUUCCAGCCCAUUAUCAGUUCUAAGAUUCUUAAUCUUCUUGCUUGUUUAGUUUUCAAUUAAUGUACACCAUUGUUUAAAUAUUACAAAAGUAUCGGAUUUUGAUUUAAGCAAGAAAAUCUAGGACUUCCUGGAAUAAUCAUCUAUGAUUAAUAGGUAAUAUCUAUACCCAGACACUGUAGACACUGGUGCAGGACCCCACAAGUCACUGUGUAUAUAUUCCAAAAUAUUUUGAGACUUGUGUAUACCUACGCUAAAAGGUAACCUUACUUGUUUCUCGAAAAUACAAUAUUCACAAAAAGUUAGUUUUUGAACAUGGUCCUUUUCAAAUGCCCCUUGAUGAGAAAGAGAUUUUAAACCCUUUUCACCAAGAUGGCCAAGUCUCUUGUGCCAGAGUUCUGACUUAACAGAAUGUGCAACAAGAGUCACAAGAUUAUUCUUUGGUUUAGGUUUGGUGUCAAUAAAAUAGAUUCCAUUAAUUUUUGGGGCACUAAUAAUGGGCUUUUGAUCUUUGAUUAAAACCAUUCUUGAUUUCAACAUAAUAAUUCUAAUCAUCAAGAACACAUAGAGAGAUUAAAUUCCUACUUAGUGCUGGUACAUAUCUUGUAUGUUUCAGCAUUAAGUAAUGGCCAUAUUUUAAUUUCAGAAGGAUAUUGCCUAUGCCUCUAAUUUGGCAUGAUUCAUUAUUACCAAAUUUUACAAAACCUUCAUUAAGGUCAGAGAAGUUAGAGAACCAACCUUUAUUGGGGGUCCUAUGAAAAUAAUAACCUGAAUCCAAAACCCAGUUCUGAUAAGUUCUUUCAGUAACAGAUACAUAAGCAACCCCAAUGUUGGCUCUUGCUUCUUUACAAGGGAUAGCCAUGGACGAUGACCCAAUCUCAAAAUUGAGAUUAUUUUUCUGGUCAAUGGCUUUCUUGAAGCAAUCUUUGAUAAAAUGACCUAACUUCCUACAAUAAUAGCACUUUUUGUUUUUUGUCUUGGUCUUAUUAAAUUUCUUAUCCUUUCCUUUACUAUUAUUGACCCAUUUUCUUUUUACAAAAUUUCUAUCCUUGUAGUGAUUAGAUUGACUAAAGUUACUAACACCAUUAGUUUGAGAUUUCUGAUUUGUAGCGGCAUUUUCAACAUAAAAUACCUCCUUAUGUUCAGAUUUCAAUUCUUGCUCCUUAUUCAGAAGAGAGCUAUGGAUAAUUUCAACUGUCAAGUUACUCCUACCAGAUACCAAGGCAUUUCUGUCCCCUAAGGCUUUUAGCAGGCCUACUACCUUUUGCUCAUUUGAGAUCCUUUCUUCACAAUUUAUAAGUUCUUGUGUGAUCUUAUUAAAUCUAUUCAUGUUUUCUUCUGUAUCAAGAUUGUGAUCAAACUUAAAACUAAAGAAUUGCCCCCAUAGAAAACAUUUAUUUGGUAGUCUUAGUUAGGUACUGUUUUUCUAAGGCUGUCCAUAAUUCUGCAGCAGUCUUAGUUUUUCCUACUUUUCUAAUCACAGAGUCAGAUAAGUGUAAGAACAUAGUACUCCAAGCUAGCUCAUCUUGUUCAAUUUUUCUAUUUUUAGGUAGGUUUUCAGGCCAAUAUUCAUCAACAACUUUAACACAUUUUAAUUGUAACAGUAAGGCUUUAAUUUUCUGGCGUCAGAGACUAAAGUCUCCUUUGCCAUCCUAAAUCUGAAUAUCUACUUUUGAAUUCAUAGCAAGCAACAAUAUCCAAAUUGUGCUCAAGUGUGAUAUGUACAAUAAUUUGUCACGCAAGUCAAUACAGUAUAUGUCAAACAUGAUGUAGAAAGAUCUAACAAGAAGGAUCCCAAAUAGCAUACAAUGCAGAAAUAUUGUAGGGCCAAAAAAUAUACUUACACUAAGUAAGCAGAAGGAAAGUUCUCAACAUGUAUACCUUCACAAGAGCAUGUACAUGUGAUGAGAUAUUUCUUAAUUGAACACGAAGCCAAAAAAAAAAAAAUAUCACACCGUUAAUAUCAUCCAAUAGUUUUAAAAAAAACGAGAAUAUGAAUUCAAGUUAUAAAAAUACACACAGUAUUAAACUAAUAAGAAUUAAAAAAUUGAAAAUUCUGGUUUCUUGAAUCGAAAGAUCCCUGGAUUCCCUCAGAUUCUAGGGUUCUCUUAAGGAAACCUAGACAAAGGAAAAUACAGAGUAGAUCAAGUCGAACCAGACUCCUUUUCUUUUAAAAGCUACCAACAAAAAUGUUGUAGGAUGAAAGAAGAAAGAACUCCAAGAAGAUAUAUAAAAAUAAUAACAAAGGCAACCCAAAUUUUUUUUUCGAAUGUUGGCAAAUUUUUUUCAGAUCUGCCCAUUUUCUUUAGGCCAAGAGAAUCCCCCUUUGAGAUUCAAGUUUCAGAAAUUAGGUUUUGAGAAAACUGAAUUUAAGCAAAAAAUUUCAAGCUCUAAUACCAUUGUAGUUUCAGAAUCGAAUUUAUACCAAAAAAUACUCAACGCAGAAAUCAAGAUUUUCUCAAAACAAAUCAGAAAAUACGGCCAAAGGUCCCGGAAGUUCAGCGACCACUUCUAACGCUUAGUCCCCCGUUGAGCAUCCAUAAAUGAUUAAGCUCGAAUCCACUAAAAAUCGGUCACAAAUAGGCAAAGUACAAUUUACAGAACACUCAGUUCUAGAUCACAGAGAAACAACUCAAUCUUCCCUUAAUAGAAACUCACGUAAAAGUUUCUUUACAGAUUCUCUCAAAAUAACACUCAGUAUUUCAGAGGAAAAAUCAAGAUCAGAAACAAAGAAGAGAGAACGACACUCAGCCAAAAAACCCUCAGAAUACUAAAAGCUAACCCUAAAAAUCUGAGGCAUCCUAUUUAUAUGAAAGAUAAAGAUCCAACGUCCAUCGAUUGGCCAUUUGUCAUUGAUCCAAGAAAAACGCUCCUUAUGGCCAAAAAACUCAUUUUAGAGAUAUAAUUUUAGCCUUCUAGAUUCUUCCUUUGCAGGUCAUGAUAACGGGCCAUUUAUUUGGGCUCAAUUCAAUAGCCUUUAGAAAAUGGGCUCACAUCACAAAAUGCAGCAAUCCAACAACUUACAAUGCAGAAUGUUAAAAAUGUAUUGGAUGAUAUUUUAUAAAUGAAAUUUAAUAAUAGAUGUCUUAGGUUGGACUUUGGACGGAAAAUUUUUAAUAUUUGAAAAUUGAAAUAUGAACAACUUUUGUGUGAAUAGUGCUCUCCUCGUGUAUANNNNNNNNNNNGACGAUGACCCAAUCUCAAAAUUGAGAUUAUUUUUCUGGUCAAUGGCUUUCUUGAAGCAAUCUUUGAUAAAAUGACCUAACUUCCUACAAUAAUAGCACUUUUUGUUUUUUGUCUUGGUCUUAUUAAAUUUCUUAUCCUUUCCUUUACUAUUAUUGACCCAUUUUCUUUUUACAAAAUUUCUAUCCUUGUAGUGAUUAGGUUGACUAAAGUUACUAACACCAUUAGUUUGAGAUUUCUGAUUUGUAGCGGCAUUUUCAACAUAAAAUACCUCCUUAUGUUCAGAUUUCAAUUCUUGCUCCUUAUUCAGAAGAGAGCUAUGGAUAAUUUCAACUGUCAAGUUACUCCUACCAGAUACCAAGGCAUUUCUGUCCCCUAAGGCUUUUAGCAGGCCUACUACCUUUUGCUCAUUUGAGAUCCUUUCUUCACAAUUUAUAAGUUCUUGUGUGAUCUUAUUAAAUCUAUUCAUGUUUUCUUCUGUAUCAAGAUUGUGAUCAAACUUAAAACUAAAGAAUUGCCCCCAUAGAAAACAUUUAUUUGGUAGUCUUAGUUAGGUACUGUUUUUCUAAGGCUGUCCAUAAUUCUGCAGCAGUCUUAGUUUUUCCUACUUUUCUAAUCACAGAGUCAGAUAAGUGUAAGAACAUAGUACUCCAAGCUAGCUCAUCUUGUUCAAUUUUUCUAUUUUUAGGUAGGUUUUCAGGCCAAUAUUCAUCAACAGCUUUAACACAUUUUAAUUGUAAUAGUAAGGCUUUAAUUUUCUGGCGUCAGAGACUAAAGUCUCCUUUGCCAUCCUAAAUUUGAAUAUCUACUUUUGAAUUCAUAGCAAGCAACAAUAUCCAAAUUGUGCUCAAGUGUGAUAUGUACAAUAAUUUGUCACGCAAGUCAAUACAGUAUAUGUCAAACAUGAUGUAGAAAGAUCUAACAACAAGGAUCCCAAAUAGCAUACAAUGCAGAAAUAUUGUAGGGCCAAAAAAUAUACUUACACUAAGUAAGCAGAAGGAAAGUUCUCAACAUGUAUACCUUCACAAGAGCAUGUACAUGUGAUGAGAUAUUUCUUAAUUGAACACGAAGCCAAAAAAAAAAAAAAUAUCACACCGUUAAUAUCACCCAAUAGUUUUAAAAAAAAACGAGAAUAUGAAUUCAAGUUAUAAAAAUACACACAGUAUUAAACUAAUAAGAAUUAAAAAAUCGAAAAUUCUGGUUUCUUGAAUCGAAAGAUCCCUGGAUUCCCUCAGAUUCUAGGGUUCUCUUAAGGAAACCUAGACAAAGGAAAAUAUAGAGUAGAUCAAGUCGAACCAGACUCCUUUUCUUUUAAAAGCUACCAACAAAAAUGUUGUAGGAUGAAAGAAGAAAGAACUCCAAGAAGAUAUAUAAAAAUAAUAACAAAGGCAACCCAAAUUUUUUUUUCGAAUGUUGGCAAAUUUUUUUCAGAUCUGCCCAUUUUCUUUAGGCCAAGAGAAUCCCCCUUUGAGAUUCAAGUUUCAGAAAUUAGGUUUUGAGAAAACUGAAUUUAAGCAAAAAAUUUCAAGCUCUAAUACCAUUGUAGUUUCAGAAUCGAAUUUAUACCAAAAAAUACUCAACGCAGAAAUCAAGAUUUUCUCAAAACAAAUCAGAAAAUACGGCCAAAGGUCCCGGAAGUUCAGCGACCACUUCUAACGCUUAGUCCCCCGUUGAGCAUCCAUAAAUGAUUAAGCUCGAAUCCACUAAAAAUCGGUCACAAAUAGGCAAAGUACAAUUUACAGAACACUCAGUUCUAGAUCACAGAGAAACAACUCAAUCUUCCCUUAAUAGAAACUCACGUAAAAGUUUCUUUACAGAUUCUCUCAAAAUAACACUCAGUAUUUCAGAGGAAAAAUCAAGAUCAGAAACAAAGAAGAGAGAACGACACUCAGCCAAAAAACCCUCAGAAUACUAAAAGCUAACCCUAAAAAUCUGAGGCAUCCUAUUUAUAUGAAAGAUAAAGAUCCAACGUCCAUCGAUUGGCCAUUUGUCAUUGAUCCAAG